AUUGAACGCUGGCGGCAUGCCUUACACAUGCAAGUCGAACGGCAGCACGGGAGCAAUCCUGGUGGCGAGUGGCGAACGGGUGAGUAAAGUAUCGGAACGUGCCCAGUCGUGGGGGAUAACGUAGCGAAAGUUACGCUAAUACCGCAUACGAUCUAUGGAUGAAAGCGGGGGAUCGCAAGACCUCGCGCGAUUGGAGCGGCCGAUAUCAGAUUAGGUAGUUGGUGGGGUAAAGGCUCACCCAGCCGACGAUCUGUAGCUGGUCUGAGAGGACGACCAGCCACACUGGGACUGAGACACGGCCCAGACUCCUACGGGAGGCAGCAGUGGGGAAUUUUGGACAAUGGGCGAAAGCCUGAUCCAGCCAUGCCGCGUGCAGGAUGAAGGCCUUCGGGUUGUAAACUGCUUUUGUACGGAACGAAAAGGUCUCUCUUAAUACGGGGGACUCAUGACGGUACCGUAAGAAUAAGCACCGGCUAACUACGUGCCAGCCGCCGCAGUAA
Molecule: ribosomal RNA, 500 nt
Filed under: uncultured bacterium
Lineage: Bacteria
Description: partial 16S ribosomal RNA
Rfam family: Bacterial small subunit ribosomal RNA
Source: RNAcentral